This 233-nucleotide ribosomal RNA is filed under the name uncultured Staphylococcus sp. Its description in RNAcentral is "partial 16S ribosomal RNA". It matches the Rfam family "Bacterial small subunit ribosomal RNA", at positions 108 to 334 of the family's 1533-position model. Lineage: Bacteria; Bacillati; Bacillota; Bacilli; Caryophanales; Staphylococcaceae. The record is from RNAcentral.
GAGUAACACGUGGAUAACCUACCUAUAAGACUGGGAUAACUUCGGGAAACCGGAGCUAAUACCGGAUAAUAUUUUGUAACCGCAUGAUUCAAAAGUGAAAGACGGUCUUGCUGUCACUUAUAGAUGGAUCCGCGCUGCAUUAGCUAGUUGGUAAGGUAACGGCUUACCAAGGCAACGAUGCAUAGCCGACCUGAGAGGGUGAUCGGCCACACUGGAACUGAGACACGGUCCAG